Nerophis ophidion (straightnose pipefish) is the source of this 4100-nucleotide long non-coding RNA. RefSeq lists it as uncharacterized. The record is from RefSeq and is a predicted model, not a curated record. The transcript is spliced from 3 exons. Lineage: Eukaryota; Metazoa; Chordata; Actinopteri; Syngnathiformes; Syngnathidae.
UGUGUGUCAGUGUAUUAACGUGCCAGAUGGAAUAAACACACGCUGAGAAGUAGCUCCGUGCCUGCCUACUUUAUGGGUUAUAGAUAAACCUAUGGAUAACGGAGACAUAUAUAAUAGUCUCCUUUUUGUUGUGUGUGCAGUUGUCACUGAGCUCCAAAAACUGUAGAUGUUAUAAAGUGACUGGGCCAGCACGCUGUUUAUGUGGAGGAAAAGUGGACGUGACAACAAGCUGUCCUCAUUUCUCCUGAUUUCCAGCCGGAAAUCGGGAGAAAUUUGGGAGAAUGGUUGUCCUAGGAGAUUUUCGGGAGAGGCACUGAAAUUCGGGAGUCUCCAGGAAAAUUUGGGAGAGUUGGCAGAUGGUGACCUGAAAGAUGAGGUCAAUGCAUACGACAACGCAAAGAUGAGUGGAAGAUGGGAAAAAAAUAUGUUUGUUUUGACUUCUGACCUUUGCCCUUUGAAUGUCACAUUAGUGGCGUGCAACCGGAUCUCACCCUCCCAUGGAAGGUAGAGGCUGACAGAGCGCUGGCAGCUGUAAGGUUUGGAACCACAGUCUGGGUCAUUGUGCACCUGCAUAGAGAAGGAUGCUAUGUGAUAUUAAAACAGUUCAUCCCUAAAUUUUAUUAUAAAAUCAUAUUUUAUCUAUUUUAUCAUAUUCAUUCUACAACCACAUGCUCAAAACACCUUUAGUUGGUAAUCACUAUUUAAUGUCAAAAAUUAUUAAGUGAAAUAUAACUGUAUAUUUUCCUGAUAAAUGUGAAACCUGAGCUUGAGUUUAUUUCGAACAUGCAAGCAUACACAUGAUACAUCACAAUUUCCAGUUUCUCUUUUCAACAUGUUCAAAAAGGAGUAGGAAGAAGCAGAGCUUAUUAAAUCCUACCCCUUUUCUUUUCCAUAACAGUUGCUAAAACUUUUGUUCACUUCCUGUUCUCAAUGUAUUCACAAUAUACUCCAUAAAUAAGUGUUUUUCAACCACUGUGCCACUAGUGUGACGUGAGAUACAGUCUGGUGUGCCGUGGGAGAUUAUCUAGUUUCACCUAUUUGGGUUAAAAAUAUUUUUUUGCAAACCAGUAAUUAUACUCUGCAAAUGAUGUGUUGUUCUUGAGUGUCGGUGUUGUCUAGAGCAGUGUUUUUCAACCACUGUGCCGCGGCACACUAGUGUGCCGUGAGACGCAGUCUGGUGUGCCUUGAGAGAUUAUCUAGUUUCACAUAUUUGGGUUAAAAAUAUCGUUUGCAAAGCAGUAAUUAUAUGUAUGAUGUGUUGUGGUUGAGUGUUGGUGCUGUCUAGAGCGGGAGGCAGUGUGCAGGUAAAAAGGUGUCUAAUGCUUAAACCAAAAAUAAACAUAGGGUAAGUGCCUCUAGGAAAAGACUUUAAAGCUUAGAUAAGGCUAUGCAGAUUGAAACUGAAAACUGAACUGGCUACAAUGUAAACAAAAACAGAAUGCUGGACGACAGCAAAGACUUACUGUGGAGCAAAGACAAUGUACGUCUGAACAUGACAUGACAAUCAACAAUGUUCCCACAAAUAAGGAUUAAAAACUAUUGAAAUAUUCUUGAUUGCUAAAACAUGUAUAUGUGAGAAAUAUCACUCAAAGGAAGACAUGAAACUGCUACAGGAAAAUACCAAACAAAGGGAAAAAAACACCAAAAUAGGAGCACAAGACAAGAACUAAAACACUACACACAGGAAAACAGCAAAAAAGUCCUAAUAAAUCACGGUGUGCUAUGACAGGUGGUGACAGUACACCUACUUUGAGACAAGAGCUAUAGUCAUGCAUGCUUGGUUAUGAUUAAAAGUCGUAUCCAAAAAUUGCGACUUUUUACUGUCAACUGAGUUUCUUUUUUUAAUGAUUUCUGCUGGUGGUGUGACUCCGCAUUUUUUCAACGCAAAAAAUGUGCCUUGGCUCAAAAAAGGUUGAAAAACGCUGCCAUAAGUAUCACAAUAAAAAUAAAUAAAUAUUGGUGAAGUAAGUUAUAUUCAAUACAAUGAGUUAAGUAAGGUUAUUUUGAGAAUGAGAUAAUGGAUGGAUGAGCUAUUUAAAUAAAACAUCCAUCCAUCCAUCCAUUUUCUACCGCUUAUUCCCUUUUGGGGUCGAGGGGGGCGCUGGCGCCUAUCUCAGCUACAAUCGGGCGGAAGGCGGGGUACACGGAAAAGUAAAUUCAACAAGCUUAAUACAUAUAAGAUCAGGUUCCAAAUUAUCUCCGUUAGAUUAAUUCUUACUUCUUAUUGUUUAUAUGUUAGGGGUCUUGUAUUCAGACAAGUUUUAGGUAUAAUUAUUUUAUUUUCUACCUGAAUGUAAAGGUAACUUAAGUUUAAAUAAUUAAUUUGCUUACACUUUUAUACUCUUGUUGCCUUAUUUGAAUUUGACUUUAUUAAAUGUAUUUAUACUAUCAUUUGGUCCAGCCAGGCCGGAGCAGGAGGGAAUAGAAAGAGAAAAAAAGCAAGACAAAGGGGGAAAUUGUGGGGAUAAGAAGGGGACUGGACAGAGAGACAAAAACAACAACAGCAAACACAACAAUAACAACAAAAACAACAACAACAAUAGAACAACACCAGCUUAUACGAUAUGUACAAAUAUGAUUGUAAAAGUGAUAGCAAAGAAGCAGUUAGUGAAAUAAAUAAUAAUAUAGAAAUGACAAUGAGCAUUUUUACACUACAACUGCAGCAAUACAAAUACCAAUAGAAAAAGCGCUUUUGAUUAUGAACAAUACCAAUAGUUUACCUCUAUUAUCAAAAAUGCAGUUGUUCAAAUGCAACAAUACAUAUACAAAAUGAUAACUAGAAAGAUUUAAAAAAAAUAAAAAAAAAGAAUACCAAAAGAUGGAGGGGAAGAGAGAGAGGCAACCUAUAAUAAUCUUGUAGAUUGUUAUAGUAACAAUAGGUUAAGCUUUGUCAGUAUGCCAUGUGUUACCCAGUUUACCCUAGGGCAACAACAUUGAUAUAUGUUUGAUGAAACUUGUAGAAAUAAAAUAUCAAAAUGUGUUAAGUCGACAAAAAGAUCACUGGGUUGGGUUGAAAAACAGCAGUUAAUUGACUCACAUUUUUACAUGCAUUGAUUGUUCUCUAAAGGCGAUAUUAGUUAAGCAUGCUGAUACGAGUGUUCACCUGAACAACGAUGUUGGCCACAGUAGUUUCCUCACAGUCUUUGAGCAGUGUGUACGUGCAUCGACCAGGGAAGUAAUAGUAGAGGCCAUCAAAGGUCUCAAAGUGGUACUGACCCCAAGUCCUGCAUGUCAUCUCCCUCUCAAAACCAGGAUUGGGAACUGAGCACAUAGUAAAUAGAGUAGAAAGUAUACAUGAUUAUAAGGGUUUGGGUGGAAAUCCACGCAAAGAAUUUAUCUGAUUCUCACUGCCAUUUUAUACUUCUUUUAACUAGGUUAGCAAUGCUUUGUUUAUUGCAAAAAAAUAAUCAUGUUAACCAGCAACAAAAUGUUCCUAUCAGUUUAUGUUUAGUUCCCAAACAAAGCACUUACCCAGUGAAAAAUGUCUAAUAUCACCUAAUUGACUGAAAAGAAUGGGCCUAAAAUGUGUUUUACCUGUUUGACACCUCUGUCCAGUGGCCUGAAACAAGCUGCAGUCACAUGACUCAGAACGAGUGCACCAACCACCAUUCAGGCAGGAAAAGGCUGAACACCCUCUCUGAUGAUGCAUUGCUGUGUGGCACGCACAAAAGUGCCUUCAUCAAAUGCACCAGAGUCUGGAAUCUUCCAUCUACCGAGGAUUUCGUUGUGGUUUGUGGAGCCCUUUGAGACACUUGUGAUUUAGGGCUAUAUGAAUAAACAUUGAUUGAACUCUCCCUAGCAUACCCCUUUCCCCUUCGAGCUGUCUUGGAUGGACUGAAAUUCUUGUUUCCAAUCAUUUUGGAACUUGCAAGCGUACUUCUUACUCGUCGACGCCAUGUCUCUUCUUCGUUUUUCUGCUUCGUCUCUGUUAUGAUUUUGGACAUUACUACUUGCCGUAGAUUUGAAGCAAUGCAUGAUGGGAAUACGGAUGUUGUGUGUCAGUGUAUUAACGUGCCAGCUGGAAUAAACACACGCUGAGAAAUAGCUCCGUGCCUGCCUACUUUAUGGGUUAUAGAUAAACAUAUGGAUAACGGAGACAU